This is a regulatory RNA element of Paenibacillus ferrarius, 111 nucleotides long. It matches the Rfam family "epsC RNA". The record is from Rfam. NCBI's taxonomy places the organism in Bacteria, Bacillati, Bacillota, Bacilli, Caryophanales, Paenibacillaceae.
CGGUGAUGCCUCCUUACCGUUAUCCAAGGAAGUACUCGAUCAUGCUGUGGGCGAUGCAAGCCUUAGACGCCAGUCGUCAAAAGUGUGGUGCGAGGCAGGGUUAGAUGCCCU